CGUUUAGGGGUAAACCUGAGAAACCCGAAAGGUCGAAGGGAGAAAUUCAUUCGCGUUUCGACGACGGAGUCUGAUGGGAUCGGUGACGAAGUUUACGUUAGAUACUUCGCGCCUCUCGUUCGACGAGCCGUCGACGAACGCGUGCACUUUUCUCCUAGUAGGACGUCGCGAUCCGUCGGGUGUCGGUCUACGAUCGACGGCGGAGACCGUCGACGAACGUUUUUACGAACGUCGUCGACGGACCCAUCGAUUCCGGCCGACUCGCUCGACGGUAUACAAAUGGUCGGAGGCCGCAAUUUUUUGCGUCCGGCUCGACGGCAAGCGCGCCAGAACGUGUCGGCGAUCGGACCCAGUGCCGAUUCCGACCGCUGACGACUGUUGGCCGACGAUGUUCUCGGACAGACCUCGGGCGUGCCGUGUUCAAGCACGGUACGUCUCUCGACGACCGAUCGGCGACGCUAUAGCUUUGGGUACUUUCAGGACCCGUCUUGAAACACGGACCAAGGAGUCUAGCAUGUACGCGAGUCAUUGGGAUUAUACUAAACCUAAAGGCGUAAUGAAAGUAAAACGGACGCGCUUCGCGCGCGACCGAGGGAAGACGGACGGUUAAUACGCCCUCAAAAGCGACCGUCCAGCAUUCCCGGGGCGUCUCGUUCUCAUCGCGAGAAGAGGCGCACCAAGAGCGUACACGCUGGGACCCGAAAGAUGGUGAACUAUGCCUGGU
This 724-nucleotide ribosomal RNA is filed under the name Stephanopodius sp. DP-2017. Its description in RNAcentral is "eukaryotic LSU rRNA". It matches the Rfam family "Eukaryotic large subunit ribosomal RNA", at positions 406 to 841 of the family's 3401-position model. Lineage: Eukaryota; Metazoa; Arthropoda; Insecta; Coleoptera; Curculionidae. The record is from RNAcentral.